RNAcentral lists this ribosomal RNA (426 nucleotides) under uncultured bacterium. RNAcentral describes it as "partial 16S ribosomal RNA". It matches the Rfam family "Bacterial small subunit ribosomal RNA", at positions 354 to 796 of the family's 1533-position model. The record is from RNAcentral.
GUGAGGAAUUUUCCGCAAUGGGCGAAAGCCUGACGGAGCAAUGCCGCGUGAAGGAUGAAGGCCUAUGGGUUGUAAACUUCUUUUCUCAGAAAAGAAUUAUGACGGUAUCUGAGGAAUAAGCAUCGGCUAACUCUGUGCCAGCAGCCGCGGUAAGACAGAGGAUGCAAGCGUUAUCCGGAAUGAUUGGGCGUAAAGCGUCUGUAGGUUGUUUAAAAAGUAUUCUGUCAAAGAUUAGGGCUUAACCCUAGAUAGGCAGAAUAAACUUUUAAGCUAGAUUGUGGUAGAGGCAGGGUGAAUUCCCGGUGGAGCGGUGAAAUGCGUAGAUAUCGGGAGGAACAACAAAGGCGAAGGCACUCUGCUGGGCCAAUACUAACACUGAGAGACGAAAGCGAGGGGAGCAAAUGGGAUUAGAAACCCUUGUAGUCA